This is a non-coding RNA of Phoenix dactylifera (date palm), 2060 nucleotides long. NCBI's taxonomy places the organism in Eukaryota, Viridiplantae, Streptophyta, Magnoliopsida, Arecales, Arecaceae. The record is from RefSeq and is a predicted model, not a curated record.
GCGUUUUCGAUGUUACCCGCUCGGCUCUCCUGUUCUUGGGGUCAAACUCUUGGCUUUCUUCUCAAGAACUCAUCUUCUUCUCCGUGGUACUGGUUAGCCAAGGGUUUAGGGUGGCACCCCUCGCUUACUAAGCGUACGGCUCCUUUUCUCGUUCUUCUUCUUCUUCUUCUUCUUGUUCUUCCAGGUGGGUAUUGGCCGUGAUGUUGUUCUUCUCUCUUUCUCUCUUCCUUCUUUUCUUUCUUCUAUCUUGCUUUUGUUCUUAAUUCUUUUUUGCCUCUAAGUAGCGUUGCUUUUAGGUUUAUAUGAAGAGGCGGUGAGGAUUUCUAUACGAGGGUUUGCCACAUUAUGAAUCAGACAGAGAUCGCCUAUUUUAAACGGCAAGGCGAUCUUGGAUGGUUUGCUGCCGUUGUGCAGGCAACGGAUUUGCAGCAGUUUUGAUUUAGUCGCAGAUAGUCUUCAGACUAUUAAUAAAAUACUGGAUUAAACGGUCAAUCUCAGCCUCCUCUUAGUUUCCCUUGAUUUUCCGAUUUCUGUCGGUCUCUUUCUUUUUCAAGAUUUUGUUAUUCCAAGGUUUGUUUAAUUUCGUUGAGGUACUUAAUUUAUUCACAUGAGUUGUUCCUGUGGUUUCUCAAGAAUUCAUAGGAUUUGGACGCCGAUGAAAGCCUGGGGGUAGGGAUUGCAUCAGUAGCGGCUGGGGUUUGGAGAACCCAAAUGCUCUAGUUUUUUGUUUUAGUAAUUGAAACUUAGGGUUUGUUUGCAUGGUAUUAGGGUUUAUCCCAUUUUAACGGUUUUGAAUCUACUUCCUUCCAACCACUUGUUCUUGUUUGAUUGACUCUAUUUUUCUUUCUUUUCUUUUCUUUCUUUUUUUUUAAGGUUUUGAAUAGAUUCCCCCUUAAGUACUCCUUACGCUUUUCCUUCCCCUUUUUUAGCAAUGAUAUCACCAGAGGCAACUUGACAAAUUUCCAUUGUUAUCCUUCAGACAAACUCUACGUUCUUGUACACGUUCCUGUACCUACCCGGUUCCGUAAGGUAGUUUCUCUACUGCUCCUCUGCUAACGUUGCCUUUCCAGGGUCUACAAGGGUUUGCAACAGAUUCAAGGAUUAUCUUGUUAUAGCCGAUUUUUUGAGACUCCUUAAUGCAGGUGUUGCGGGAUCUCGCAUAGAAACCUACCUGGAGUGGGUAUUGGAUAAGGUGGUGGUGUAUCAAGAGCUGGUGCAUAAAUUUUUAUGCAACCUGUUCAGAUUUGAGGUGUGGCAUGGGAUGGAGGAAGAUUUUGAUGGCGGACGGUGGAGGGGGUUUUUAGCAGUAGGGAAGAUGAGCAUGUGGAGAUGAGGCACAUGUGAAAGAUGAUGAAAUUGACACCAAAGCAGCGUUAGGCUCCAGAAAAAUCAACUAAAAAGUUAAGGAUGGUCCCGCAACUGUGGAAAGCAACAUACAAGAAUUAUCAACGUCUCUACAUUUGUGAGUUGUCAAGUUGCACCCUUUCAGAUUACAAGGCUGAGUUCUCGUUAUCGAGCUCUUUGCACCGUGCAGGUGUAACCUUAAGUUUCAGUUUAUUCAGCUAGUUCAGCUUCUAAGAACUUUCUUUACGUGAAUUUCAGUACUUUACACUGAUGUUAAUUCUGCAGAGAGGCAAAAUAUUCUCAGUGAUAGAUACACCCUUAUCAGGUUCUGCUGCAAGAUCAAGAUUUAUUUUAUUUUUUUGGCUCUUAGGUCAUACUCCGAAUUAUGUUUUACUUUGAGUCCCAAGAUAUAUCAUACUUUUUUCCCCUUUUUGUUAGUAUAUGACAUUCUUUCUUUUUGGAAAAAAAUAUCUGCUUUCGGUGUAGAGAUACGAGUGAGAAAUUUUCGUUCAUCUUUAUUUCUCCUCCUGCCCUUGAGCACACCUUCCUUUUUAUUGUAGUCUUUAUGUGUAUUGUAAGGGCAAAUAAAAGUAUGAUACACAAACUGGUCUUUUCAUUGUCUUGUUCAAGAUUAAUUGCAGAGUUUAAUGCCAGAAAUUGUUGCAUAAAACAAUGCCUGAUGAAUAUAAAUGUUUUGAACUAAAGUUUAGUGGUGA